GCAAGUCGAACGAGAAAGUCACUUCGGUGGCGAGUACAGUGGCGCACGGGUGAGUAACGCGUAGAUGAUCUACCCUUCAGUCUGGGACAACUCUUGGAAACGGGAGCUAAUACCGGAUAAAACCUUCGGGUUGAAAGAUUUAUCGCUGGGGGAUGAGUCUGCGUACCAUUAGCUUGUUGGUGGGGUAACGGCCUACCAAGGCGACGAUGGUUAGCGGGUCUGAGAGGACGAUCCGCCACACUGGAACUGAGACACGGUCCAGACUCCUACGGGAGGCAGCAGUAGGGAAUAUUGCGCAAUGGGGGCAACCCUGACGCAGCAAUGCCGCGUGAGUGAAGAAGGCCUUCGGGUCGUAAAGCUCUUUUAUGGGGGAAGAUGAUGACGGUACCCCAUGAAUAAGCACCGGCUAACUACGUGCCAGCAGCCGCGGUAAUACGUAGGGUGCGAGCGUUGUUCGGAAUUACUGGGCGUAAAGGGCGUGCAGGCGGAUUGGCAAGCCGGAGGUGAAAGCCCGGGGCUCAACCCCGGAGGGUCUUUCGGAACUGCCAGUCUUGAGAGGGUCAGGGGCCAGCGGAAUUCCUGGUGUAGAGGUGAAAUUCGUAGAGAUCAGGAGGAACACCGGCGGCGAAAGCGGCUGGCUGGGGCCACUCUGACGCUGAGGCGCGAAAGCGUGGGGAGCAAACAGGAUUAGAUACCCUGGUAGUCCACGCCGUAAACGAUGGGCACUAAGCGUCCGACGGGUUCGACCCUGUUGGGUGCUGCAGUUAACGCGUUAAGUGCCCCGCCUGGGGAGUACGGUCGCAAGACUA
RNAcentral lists this ribosomal RNA (809 nucleotides) under marine metagenome. RNAcentral's name for it is "bacterial SSU rRNA". It matches the Rfam family "Bacterial small subunit ribosomal RNA", at positions 57 to 896 of the family's 1533-position model. The record is from RNAcentral.